Molecule: long non-coding RNA, 6061 nt
Filed under: Capsicum annuum
Lineage: Eukaryota; Viridiplantae; Streptophyta; Magnoliopsida; Solanales; Solanaceae
Description: long non-coding RNA (CANN_LNC017181)
Source: RNAcentral
GGGUUUCCACUCGGGUAUGCCAGUCUAGACAUCUAUCCCUAUUAGGCUUAAACUUAGAAGAACUAAAAACUCAGAAUCUGGUUAGCCCUAUUACGUGUCGCUUUAUUUGCAUCAUAUGCAUUUGACUUAGUGAGACUCGGCACAGGGGUCGGGUCUUUUUAGGACAAGUGACCUACUUUAUAAAGACCAACAUAUGUAUCCUAUGUGCUCUUUGAAAUUUGUUUGGAAGGCUGUUUAUUUGUUAACUGGCUUUAGGCAACUUUAAAAUGCAAGAGAUUAAAUUAUCCUCACAUUUAGUGAAUCAUUUUAAAAAAAAAGAAAAAAAUUAUUUUUAAAAGAAAGAAAAUUUUUUAGUAACAUAGUUUUAUGGUCUUUAUGAACUACGAGGGUCUGAUUCUCAUUCUUUAGUGGGAUACAUACGAAGUCCUUCCCAAGAUACGACCCUAUCUUUUGAAAAAUUAUUCAUAGGUUUAUUGAGAAAUAUUUUGAAAAUAUGAUUACUUUCAUAAUUAUUUUUCUAAUCCUCAAGUCCAAUUUUUAGGUAUCUUAAUAGCCCUGAAUCUUUAGGGAUCAUGAGGCAAAGUUUUUUACAAAAUAAAAAAAUAUAUAUAUAUCUUAACAGCCCUGAGCCUUUAGGGUUCUUGAGGCUGAGUUUUGUACAACAUAAUUUUCACGAACUACGCACACCUGAUUCUUAUCUUAAUGAGAUAUGUAGGCAGUCCUUCAUGUAUUCGGUGAUUUGAAAGAAAGAAAAAAAUAUAUUUGUGUUUCCUUCGAAACAAAUAAAAAAGAGAGUUUUUGAUUUGUAUAUAAAAAUAAAUUAAUUUAUUUUCGAAAAUAAAAAAGGUUUUUUUAUCAUUAUCUUUAAAUUCAAAAAAAAAAGUCUUUCUUAUUUCUCAAAUUACAAGAAAAAUGUGUUUCUUCAUAUCUCAAGCUUCGAGAACUACGCACACCUAAUUCUCAUCUUAGUGAGAUACGUAGGCAGCCCUUCUAGGGUUUGGUGAUCUUUAAAAAAAAGAUAAAAGAAAAAGAGUUUUUAAAAAAAUAUUGCAUUUUGACGUCUUUGCUAUUUCUUAUACGGUUAGUUUAAAGUGGCCAGUUUGUGGUAUUUUGGUUGGUCCCCUAUAUUACACCAAAUUCAGGGAAGAGAGUCAUGUCCAGUAAGAAUAUAGAGAGUGAAAUCAUGGAUCAGACAAAGAGUCAGGAUAAUGAGAGGUUAAAGCAAGAGAUUGUGAGUUUGAGGCAACAAAUGUUUGAAAUGUAUCGAGCCAGUGGGCUAUCUCCUUCUCCAUUUUCCACUAUUGACCCUACAAAUACCUUGAAUUUUUCACCAAAAUUACAAGGUCAGUUUUCUGCUAUUGGUUAUGUGCCACAACAUGUCUCAGAAUCCACUCCAAGCCAAAAAAUCCCAAUGUUUCCAUCACUCAUUCUCUAGCUCUUUAGUAUAAAUCUACCACAUCGAUAACGCCACCUAUAGUCUUUUCUUCAGUUUCUCAACCCUCUACUGAGGUUUCUACCUUGGCUUUCUGUCCAGUGAUUAUGCCUCCCCAAUCUGCUAGUGAGUCGAUGUUCGGCACUCUUGAUGAUCACUAUUAUACUUCUAGCCCCACAUCUAUGUUAAUUGGACCAUCAAAAUUUCUUACUAAGAAGUCUGAUAUGGCAGAAGAGCAAGAGAAAAUGGUUAGGAAAAUGAAGAACACAGAAAAGGCUAUGAAAAAUUCUUAGGGAAUUGCAAACUAUGAAGAUAAUGCAUACAAAUACUGGGGCAUGUCUUCAAGUGUUAAACUUUCUCCAAGUCUUGAGAUAUCAAAAUUUGAGGAACAUGAUGGGUACGAGGAUUUUGUAAAACACUUGGGUCGAUAUUUCCAUUAGUUGAGAGAGUCUGAAGGAAAGAAGAAGGAAAAUGUACCUAUUAUCAUUACAGCAGCAAAACAGAGCUCAAGAGGUCCAACUUAUCAAUAUUGUCAGUUUCAAUCCUGAGCUUGCACAUUAAAUCCCUGUGCUCACCUGCAACAAGGUUCCUCUUUGGAAAAUCCAAGACAUUUCAUUCUACUUCCUCAGUAUCCUUUGAACAAUGCACAGAUGUAUGCUCAUCAAUUUUCUUAUCCACAAUGGCAUGCACUAGUCCCCCAACAUCAUCCACGACUCUCACAUAUUUAUCAAGAAACUUCUAAGUCCAAGUUUUAAUCGAGGCCGGAGUUUUCAAAGAGGAGAAAGUCAAGGAAUAAUUUUACACCAAUUGAGGAGUCAUAUGCCAGUUUAUUCCAGAGAUUGAGAAAGUUGAGCAUACUCACUCCUCUCCUUGAGUGUAAUCCUGAUCAACAUUCAAGAAAUUUUGAUUCUCAUGUAUGAUAUGCAUAUCAUUUUGAUAUUCAGGGUCACAGUAUUGAGGAUUGUCUUGCUUUGUAAGAAGAAAUAGAAAGGAUGAUUCAAGAAAAAUUGAUUGUAGUGUAAAACAUUGACACUACGAGCGUCACAUGGAAUCCUUCAACACAAGGUAAUGCACAAUACAUGGGAAAUAAUGAGUUAAGCAUGGAGAUCCAAAAUUUAUUUGUGGAAGAAAAUGUGUUGGACAGUAGUGAAAGCUCUAGUCAUGUUGAUAUGCAAACCAGUGGUUAAGAUUUUAAGCUCAACAAUUGGGAAAUCAUUCCUUUCCUUACUUGAAAGGAUUUUUGGUAGUUUGUUUUAUUUUUUCUUCUACUUUUUGAAUUAUUUCAGGAUUAUAGUUCAAAAUUUAUCUUGUUUUGUUUCUCUGUCAUUUUUGUUUAAACCCUUCUAUCUUUAAUUUUAAUAAAAUAUGGUGUCCUCGUUGUUUUGUCUUGUUUUUAAGUUGUUUGUUUGUUUUCUUUACACAAUACAUUUUAAGUUGAUUCUAGUGUUAUGACAUGCCUGCAAAAUUUUCAGCCGGAUCUUAAAUUCCAGGUUAAUUAUGAAACAAUGAAUCAGAAGCUAAAGUUAGAAAAAGAGAGCAUCUGAGAAAAUAAGUAAAGUGUUGAGGUGUUUGGGGACAUAGUUACAACCUCACUUGAAUAUAUUGAGGCAAUCACUUUGUGAAUAAAAAUGAUUUGGUCUUCAGUGAGAGAGUCCAUCUCAAAAAUUUUGAAUGAGAUCAAUCAGAGGAUAUAUAGUUUCCACAGUCAGGAGAAGCAAAAGGAAGUUAGCUCAAAAAAUAAAGGCAUGAGUCAUCUAUUGUGAGGAAAGUACAACACAUGUAGGCUUGUAUAUUUCAUGUGCACGAGAAGCACUAACAUACAUGCUCAGUUAAAAUUAAUAGUGGAAAAGAUGAGUAUGAUUUUUAUGUUCACUCUCAGAUUGCAUGUUAAGUACUUGUGUUUUUAACGAUUGAUAAGAUGAAGGCAUUUCAUUCUGCUAUCCAAAUGUUCUGUCAUCCUUUGUUACCCCUUUUGAGAUUUAAUUUUAGUUUUUUUUAUACACCUCUUUUGGAAUCAAAAUAGAGUCUGAAAAAAAUAAAAUAAAUAAAAUAAAAGUGCCAAGAAAGAGAGAUAUAGUCAGAAGAAGUGCCAAAAAGAAAUAGAGUCAGCAAAAAAAAAUCUAUGUCUCUCUCUCUAAAAAUAAAGCCAAAAAAAGAGAGCCAAAGUUAAAGAAAAAAUCAAGAAAAAGAAUAAGAUGCUUGAACUACUUUUGACUUGAUUCUUGCUAUGACAAGAUACGUAGGCAGCCCUACUCCGGAGUUUGAUCCAACCAAAAGAAAAUUUAAAUUACCCAGAAUGAAAUAAAACUGGGGCAAAAGUUUAUUUCCUUAAAAGAGUCGAUUCCAAAAGUUGUAUGCUUUACCCAAUGUUAUGUAAAUUUUUUAGCCUCAUGCCACCCUUUCUUUCUAACUCUUUCCAAAAGUCAAGUUACAUCCAAAGACAGACUUUUAGAUCAAUCUUUAAGAAUGUUGAGGCUAAACAUGUUAUAGGUGCAUGAUAUUUCAUAUUUUGGGUAUUAUUUUUCUUAUAUAUAUAUAUAUGAAAAUGAAUGAAAAUGAGAGAGUCUGAUUGGUGAAAACCCUCUUGGGCACCAUAAGGCGACACUAUGAGAAUAAUGAAAUGAGAGAGUCUUAUUGGUGAAAACCCCUAUGGGCACCAUAAGGCGACUGUGAAUUGAGAAAGAAAUGAAAAUGAGAUAGGCUCGUUGGAGAAAAACUCAUUGAGGUGUCAUUAGCCGAAGAAGAAUUAUAAUACAGAAAGAAUAAGUUCAAGAUUGGCUCAAUUUCAAGUUUAAUAAGUGGAAAAAAGUUGAUAAUGAUUGGUGUGAUUAGAUCAGGUUCUUUAAUUCAAAAUACAUGUCAUAAUCAUUGGAGUUGACUAUCAUUUUCAGAUAAAUUUUUCUUUUCACUAUUUUUAGAAAAGGACAUUCAUUUUCUUUUUUCUUUUAUAUUUCUAUUUUGUUUUCUUGAGUCGGUUAUUCAAAUGGAAAUUCAUUGUCAUUUUUUCUCGAGUCUUGGAGUCAAGUCCAUGUCAAAACAAGUGAGAAAAGAUCUCAAAACUUGCUAUCAACUUCUUUAAUUGCAUAAAGCAAGAUAAAAAGCCAACACAUAAAAAAGACAUGAUUGUGAGCUGAAAUAAGGCAUGCAGAAAGUUUUGUCAACAGACGAGUCUGGAAACUCAUGGAAAUACCAAGGUUCAAAGGGUUUAUUUGAGGAGCAUGGCAAAUCAGAGAUACUGUGUUUGUUUCAGAGUCACUUCUAAUAAUAUAAAUUUGAGUCAAUGAUGCAGUAAGUUGGUGACAGAUGCUAAUGGUUAGAAACAAGAUUAAAUGUGACGAGGGCAAGAGUGAUUGACACGAAAGCUAAAGCCAUAAACCUGCCACCAUAUUUUUGAACUCAUAAGUUUUCUUUAAUGAAAUAGAAAGCAUGUUACCUUCAAAUAAAAGACUUUAGAGCAUAAAUAUCAAGGGCUGCAUAGGUUUGAUAUUCAAAUUAUAGUAAAAUUCAUCAUCCUAUAUCCCUCAGAGGCAUACUUCUUUAUCUAGGUAUUUCAGUUUUCAAUUGCUAGGUGAUAUACUUCUUAAAUUGAACCUUGAUUCCUAUAAAAUGUACCUUUUAGUCGAGUUAUUUCCCUUGAUUCCUAUAAGACGUACCUUUUAGUUGAGUUAUUUCCCUUGAUUCCUAUAAGAAGAACCUUUUAGUCGAGUCAUUCCUAUAAAACGUACCUUUUAUUCGAGUCAUUCCCCUUGAUUCCUAUAAGAUGUACCUUUUAGUCAAGUCAUUUCCCUUGAUUCCUAUAAAACGUACCUUUUAGUUGAGUCAUUCCCCUUGAUUCCUAUAAGACGUACCUUUUAGUCGAGUCAUUCCCCUUGAUUCCUAUAAGACGUACCUUUUACUCGAGUCAUCCCCCUUGAUUCCUAUAAGAUAUACCUUAUAGUCGAUUCAUUCUCCUUGAUUCCUAUAAGAUAUACCUUAUAGUCGAUUCAUUCUCCUUGAUUCCUAUAAGAUAUACCUUUUAGUUGAGUCAUUCCCCUUGAUUUCUAAAAGAUGUAGAUGUACUUUCUAUUUGAGUCAUUUUAUUUAACCCCUAAGAGAUGCACUUCCUUAUCUAGGUGAUUUAAGAUUCAUGUGUUAGGAGACGUAUUUUCUAAUUUUGGUCAUCAAUUUUACUUUGAAGAGACGCAUUUUUUUUGCAGGGCUUUGAUUCACACUUUUUUUGUACUUUUCAAAAAUUGUAAUCUGAUGAUGCUCAUAAAAUUUUCUAGUACAAACUGGGGAAAAAUUUUUUGUUUGUGUUUAUUGAAUUUUACUUUCUGCUCAGGACUCGCCUGAAGAAUAGGGUGAAGAAAGAGAAAGUCUAGGAGCCUGCCUAAAGAACAGGGUGAAGAAAAAGGAAGUCCAGGAGCCUACCUGAAGAAUAGGGUGAAGGAAAAGUAAGUCCAGGAGCCCGACUGAAGAACAAGGUAAAGAAAAAGGAAGUCUAGGAAUCUGCCUGAAGAACAAGAUGAAGGAAAAGUAAGUCUGGGAACCCACCUGAAGAAUAAGGUGAAGAAAAAGUUAUUCCAGGAGCCCGCUUGAAGAAUAGGGUGAAGAAAAAAGUAAGUCCAGGAGCCUGCCUGAAGAACAGGA